UAAGCCGCGAGUCAUUGUAGCAAUACAAGGCGGACGGCUCAUAACACGUAGUCAACCUAACUCGGACGGAUAACCUCGGAAACUGAGAAUAAACCACGAUAGAUCAUAGGCGAAUGUUGCCCAGUACUGCCAAUUGGGGAUGGGACUGCGGCCUAUCAGCUUGUUGGUGAGUAGGCACAAGCGAUUACAGGUACGGGCUCUGAGAGAAAGCCCGGAGAUGGGUACUGAGACACGGACCCAGGCCCUAUGGGGCGC
This 255-nucleotide ribosomal RNA is filed under the name uncultured archaeon. RNAcentral's name for it is "partial 16S ribosomal RNA". It matches the Rfam family "Archaeal small subunit ribosomal RNA", at positions 53 to 333 of the family's 1478-position model. The record is from RNAcentral.